GUUCUGCUAUGGCCAGCGAAGAGCCCGGAUCUCAAUCCCAUUGAGCACGUCUGGGACCUGUUGAAUCGGAGGGUGAGGGGUUAGGGCCAUUCCCCCCCCAGAAAUGUCCUUGAACUUGCCUUGAUGGAAGAGUGUGGUAACAUCUCACAGCAAGAACUGGCAAAUCUGGUGCAGCCCAUGAGGAGGAGAUGCACUGCAGUGCUUAAUGCAGCUGGUGGCCACACCAGAUACUAACUGUUACUUUUGAUUUUGACCCCUCCCCUUUGUUCAGGGACACAUUAUUCAAUUUCUGUUAGUCACAUGUUUGUGGAACCUGUUCAGUUCAUGUCUCAGUUGUUGAAUCUUGUUAUGUUUAUACAAAUAUUUACACAUGUUAAGUUUGCUGAAAAUAAACGCGGUUGACAGUGGGAGGACGUUUUUUUUUUGGCUGAGCUUAGAAGCUUUGAAUAAAAUACUGGAGUCAGACUCAAAUCUGAGGAGCGAUUUGGACAAAGAGGAUUUAAACUCAGCUGACGAAGAUUGCUUUCUUGAAGGAUUGGAUCCAUUUUAAGAUCUAGUGGAGGAUGCAGAUGAUGUGGAUGAUGAAGUUUGGGAGCCACCCCUCCCCAGCAAGCACCCUGCCGGUCAAGGUCUUCAAUCCCCCCCACUGCUACAGCCAUCACCCCGUCUGAUGGUUCUACAUCCACCACUCGACAGAGGCCCCACUCCUCUUCAACCACCCCCACUGCAGUUUCAAUCACCCCGUCUGAUGGUUCUACAUCCACUUUUCAUAGACCUCUUGAAAAAGAAAAUAGGGGCUUGUGGCACCAUUCGUCCUAACAGAAUCAUUUUCCCCAAGACCAAGGUAAACGACAUGACAAAGACAUCGGAGAGUGGGACCAUACAUUGGAUCAGGACUAACAAGCUGCUUUUUGUGAAAUGGAAGGACACUAGCUAAGUAACCAUGCUCACCACACAGCAUAAGGCAUUCAAUAAUAACCAUGUCUCAAGGAGGGUGAAAAAUGCCAAUGGGGCAUGGGUGAGGAAGAAUGUCCCCGUUUCUGUGAAGGACUACAAUUCCAGCAUGGGGGGUAUCUAAUGCUCUGAUAGGCUACGACCAGGAAGUGGAAGAAGAUUAUUUUUUUCACUUUGUGGACAUAGCUACAGUAAAUGCUUUCAUUCUCCGAAAGCAGGUGGCCAAAGCAAAAGGUCAAACCCCUCUCACCCAGUUCCGAGUGCAGCUGGUGUUGGAAAUUGCAGAAUUGGAGGCCCAAAGCAACCUCACAACCAUCACAAGACCCCCCCCCCCCACUCAAGGUGAGCGCCACUAUCCAACACACAUGCCAAAAGACAAAAGGAAGAACUCCAAACGUUGCAUAAAACACGAGGGGAGGUUGAAAUGCCACAUCUGUCUGAAAUGCAAGUUUUCCUUUUGUUUCCUGGCAGAAAGGGACUGCUUCAAAGACUAUCAUGACAUGCACAAGCUACAGUGAAAGUGAAAUCUAAUCAUCUACACCUGGGAUGUAAAACAAACACGAAUGCCAUUUUUGUAAAUAGUUCAUCUUAUUUUUAUUUUUGCACCUCUUUUAGUGAAGGACACGUGUGUAUCUAAGUUUGUUUGAUUAGACAUUUAAAAAAAUAAAAUCAAAAUUGUGUAUUUGUUGCUUUUAUAUUGUUUUUGUAAAUAGUAAAUUUGUAUGUGGGACCAAUACAUUGGAUAUGCGUAGGCUAAACGUUCAGGAACUUUGGCGAGGUUGAAAAAACAGUUGUAUGUCCCCCGACACCACCACAAUGUUUGAGAGAGGUUGGUGUUGUAGAAAUGUUUUUUUUUUUAUGGUGAACAAUAACUUUUAGGCGCUUCCAGUGAGCAAAAACAGUGCAAUUUCCACAUUCGGACACUUUGGAGAGGUUGAAAGGACACUUUAAUGUACCCUGGAUACCCCAUAACUCCACCACACUGUUUGAGUAAGGUUGAUAUGGUAGAAAUUGUUUUUAUACUUAACAAAUAGCAUUUAGGGAUUGCAAAUAUGUAAUAGCACUGGAAUUAAUAUAAUUUACAGACAUAUGCCACUUUGGAGAGGUUAAGGGACACAUGACCAAAUAUCCCGUGACCACACAUGACACCACUUACUAAAACAUCUGCCCAUUUCUAGUUGUUAGGUCUAUCAAUCCCUUUUUUUCUGAUUGUUCACAUGUUGUGGAAGCCAUGUGAUGUGUUUCCAGCUCUGGGCAUCAAUAAUUCACUUAUAGCUUGUCAAUGAAAGAUGACUUUAAAAUACAAAAACAAAAAAUGUUA
Salmo salar (Atlantic salmon) is the source of this 2275-nucleotide non-coding RNA. The record is from RefSeq and is a predicted model, not a curated record. Lineage: Eukaryota; Metazoa; Chordata; Actinopteri; Salmoniformes; Salmonidae.